This is a long non-coding RNA of Mus musculus (house mouse), 805 nucleotides long. RefSeq annotates it as predicted gene, 52400. The record is from RefSeq and is a predicted model, not a curated record. Lineage: Eukaryota; Metazoa; Chordata; Mammalia; Rodentia; Muridae. The transcript has 3 exons.
CUUCCAGGCCUAUGGCCCGACUGGGAAGGAACAGUAAGGAAACUCAGGCCGCCUGAGUUGAGGCCCUAGGGAGCAAGGAGCCCAGGGGGUAGGAGAGGGAACAGUACAGAAACGUGGGUGAGACGUGAUAUCUAGAUAAGAAGCCGCAGAUAAAGUGCUAUUGAGGGUGCACCUGGAAAGACGGGUGUUGGAGCCGCUCAAGACAUGCCAAGGUCAGCCGGUUGAGGACUCAGGUGGAAAAGGCGAAGAUAAUAAGCUGGCUUCAAGCCCACCCAGCAGCCAAGGAUGAGCCCGAACUUCUCAGCCUCCUGCCUGCACAACUGCGAUGAUAACAACUGUAUGUGGUGCUGUGGAUCGAACCCACGGCACGGUGCGUGCUAGGUAAGCACUGUUCCAAGGCGGCUACUUCCCCAGACUCAUCUCCCUUUACUUUAUCUUUACGGUACUGGGAAUCAAACCCAUACCCUUGCACAUGCUGGGCAAGUGCUCUACCCCUGACCUACAUCCCUAAACGCUGUGGCUUCUCUCCAAAAAAAUAGCAUCGAGGGGGCUAAAGAGAUGCUUCAGAAAUUAAAAACACUUGCUCUUGCAGAGGACCCAGGUUCAAUUCCCAACACCCACAUAGUGGCUCACAAACACCUGUAAUUCCAGUUCUAGGAAAGUCAAAACCUUGUUCUGUCCUCCAUAGUCUUGGGGUGGUACACGUACUGCAUACACAUAUACAAAGUGGUCAUAACAUAAAUUUGUAACACAUAAAAUAACAAAAAGUAGCAUAAAAGAGAAGCCUAGUGGUGCAGGCCUUUAA